CAUGUCUUUUUGAUUAUAAUUUAAGGUUUAAUCUGCUCAAUGAUUAUUUAAAUUGCCGCAGUAUUUUGACUGUGCAAAGGUAGCAUAAUAAUUAGUUUCUUUAUUGGGAACUGGAAUGAAUGAUUGGACGAGAAAAUUUCUGUCUCUUUAUUAUUUUAAUUGAAUUUUACUUUUAAGUUAAAAGGCUUAAAUUUUAUUAGAGGACGAGAAGACCCUAUAGAGUUUAAUUUUUAUUUAAAUAAUUAUUUUUAGUAUCUAUAUAUAUUAUUUAAAUAAAAAUUUAGUUGGGGUGACUAAAAGAUAAGAAUAACUCUUUUAAUUUUUAUCAAUUAUUUUUGAUUAUAAAAUCUUUAUUUUUAAUUUUAAAAUAAAUUACCUUAGGGAUAACAGCGUAAUUCUUUUUUAAAGUUCUUAUUAAAAGAAGAGUUUGCGACCUCGAUGUUGGAUUAAAAUUAAUUUUAGGUGUAGAAGCUUGAAAAUUAAGUCUGUUCGACUUUUAAAAUUUUACAUGAUCUGAGUUUAAACCGGUGUGAGCCAGGUUGGUUUCUAUCCUUAAUUAUAUAUUAUACUU
Molecule: ribosomal RNA, 571 nt
Filed under: Pteroptyx tener
Lineage: Eukaryota; Metazoa; Arthropoda; Insecta; Coleoptera; Lampyridae
Description: partial large subunit ribosomal RNA
Rfam family: Bacterial large subunit ribosomal RNA
Source: RNAcentral